Non-coding RNA from Mycena olivaceomarginata, 79 nucleotides. NCBI's taxonomy places the organism in Eukaryota, Fungi, Basidiomycota, Agaricomycetes, Agaricales, Mycenaceae. The record is from the annotation of a GenBank genome assembly.
UCCCUCUUAGCUCAGUUGGUAGAGCGCGUCACUAGUAAAAGCAAUGACGAGGUCAGUCGUUCAAAUCGGCUAGCGGGAA